GGUACGUUUCUAUAACAAACCCGCUACACGAGUACAAAAGACGUUACAACGAUAGUAUAUUUAUCUCUUUUUAACUUAUGACGGCUCACAUGAGUGCGAAAGACAAAACCUAUGUUUUUCUUUCGUCUUAAAUAUGCUCCGUCUAUUCCUCAGAACAAUAACUAAAGCAUAGAAGGAAGGCUAAAAUAAGAAUUCAGAAACUAUAAACCGGCUCUCUUCUAGCUUACGACACAAACUAUGAGUGAGAAAAGGACAAAUGAUUCGCUCUUUGCUUCAUUUUUUCCGAGGUUGUCACAACAUGAAAUGUCAUUUGGACCUAUUGGACUCAUUUUAACUCGGCCAAAUACAUAGUAACAUACAUAAGAAGAUUUUACUUAUAUUUACCGAACUAUUUGACACGGUCGCGUCAACUGUGUUUACGAGUGUCUUGUGUUCAGAUUGUUUUAAGUGAUAAUUUAACAAUAUUUUUCCAAAUAAAUGGAAAGAAACUUUUAUUUAUAUCAAAUAAUUGAGUGUCUCGACUGUGUGACAUUAUGUCUUGUGUGGUAUGGGGCUGCAGCUCACAUUCAGGAAGAAAAGAAAAUAGCCAACAACUUCUGUCGUUUCAUCGAUAUUAAAUCCAAAAGUGUCGACUGGAUUUACAUGAAAAGUCAGUUCAAGAAGACGAGAUGAAAAAUUUAAAAGAAAAGCUGAACAAGUCCCGCCUCAAGAUCAAACGACUUAAUGAAAAAAAAAAACAAUGUGACAGGGUGUCACAAAGACAGUUUCUAAGCAAAUUGACACUGUUUAGAAAUUAAUAAAUUUGUAUUUAUUGUAAAUAUAAUGUACAUAAUUAAUAACGUGUGAAAUAAAUACUUGCUAAUGAAAAUGAACAGAUUUACGAUCUAAUUUAUAUUUCAUUUUACCUCCUGUUCUUAUUUACUCCUACUCCAACACUCCAGGUUGAUACGAACUGCGCCCAAUAAAGAAUGUAAUGAAUGUUAUAGAUUUGUGUAAGCGACUUAGAUAAAUCUUGACUAAACCUUCCUUUACAAAUACAAAUAUACUUUAUUGCACACAACAUACAAUACUUACAAGUUUUACACGAAAGAUACAGUACACCACCUACCUACCUUUUACUUUCCCUUUCUGUUCUCUUAUGAAUACUUGUAUGCCGUAUUUUUUUAAGUAUAAUGCUAUAUCUAGUAGGUACGAGUAUGGUAAUCCUAUUAUUGAAACAGCUUGUAGCCCUAGUAAAGACCGCCAUUUUAUGUUUACAGAGUGGCACGUUUUUUCUGUAGGUAUUUCCAGUCCAUACUCUUUUCUAUGUCUAUGGCGU
Molecule: long non-coding RNA, 1318 nt
Organism: Pectinophora gossypiella (pink bollworm)
Lineage: Eukaryota; Metazoa; Arthropoda; Insecta; Lepidoptera; Gelechiidae
Exons: 3
Source: RefSeq, a predicted model, not a curated record